RNAcentral lists this ribosomal RNA (468 nucleotides) under Acanthamoeba genotype T4. RNAcentral's name for it is "SSU rRNA". It matches the Rfam family "Eukaryotic small subunit ribosomal RNA", at positions 739 to 1095 of the family's 1831-position model. The record is from RNAcentral. Lineage: Eukaryota; Discosea; Longamoebia; Acanthamoebidae.
UGGCCCAGAUCGUUUACCGUGAAAAAAUUAGAGUGUUCAAAGCAGGCAGAUCCAAUUUUCUGCCACCGAAUACAUUAGCAUGGGAUAAUGGAAUAGGACCCUGUCCUCCUAUUUUCAGUUGGUUUUGGCAGCGCGAGGACUAGGGUAAUGAUUAAUAGGGAUAGUUGGGGGCAUUAAUAUUUAAUUGUCAGAGGUGAAAUUCUUGGAUUUAUGAAAGAUUAACUUCUGCGAAAGCAUCUGCCAAGGAUGUUUUCAUUAAUCAAGAACGAAAGUUAGGGGAUCGAAGACGAUCAGAUACCGUCGUAGUCUUAACCAUAAACGAUGCCGACCAGCGAUUAGGAGACGUUGAAUACAAAACACCACCAUCGGCGCGGUCGUCCUUGGCGUCUGUCCCUUUCAACGGGGGCAGGCGCGAGGGCGGUUUAGCCCGGUGGCACCGGUGAAUGACUCCCCUAGCAGCUUGUGAGA